GAAGCGGCAACAGCUCAAAUUUGAAAUCUGGCGCAAGCCCGAGUUGUAAUUUGUAGAGGAUGCUUCAGGGCAGCGGCCGGUCUAAGUUCCUUGGAACAGGACGUCAUAGAGGGUGAGAAUCCCGUAUGCGACCGGUUGGCACCCGUCACGUAGCUCCUUCGACGAGUCGAGUUGUUUGGGAAUGCAGCUCUAAAUGGGAGGUAAAUUUCUUCUAAAGCUAAAUACCGGCCAGAGACCGAUAGCGCACAAGUAGAGUGAUCGAAAGAUGAAAAGCACUUUGGAAAGAGAGUUAAAAAGCACGUGAAAUUGUUGAAAGGGAAGCGCAUGCAACCAGACUUGUCGGCGGUGUUCCGCCGGUCUUCUGACCGGUCUACUCGCCGCCGGCAGGCCAGCAUCAUCUGGGCGCGCCGGAUAAAGGCGUGGGGAAUGUAGCUCCUCGGAGUGUUAUAGCCCCGCGCACAAUACGGCGCCGCUCGGGUGAGGUCCGCGCUUCGGCUAGGAUGCUGGCGUAAUGGUUGUCUGCGGCCCGUCUUGAAACACGGACCAAGGAGUCUAACAUCUAUGCGAGUGUUCGGGUGUCAAACCCCUACGCGGAAUGAAAGUGAACGGAGGUGGGAAGCGCAAGCUGCACCAUCGACCGAUCCUGAUGUCUUCGGAUGGAUUUGAGUAAGAGCAUAGCUGUUGGGACCCGAAAGAUGGUGAACUAUGCCUGAAUAGGGUGAAGCCAGAGGAAACUCUGGUGGA
Molecule: ribosomal RNA, 744 nt
Filed under: Teratosphaeria ovata
Lineage: Eukaryota; Fungi; Ascomycota; Dothideomycetes; Mycosphaerellales; Teratosphaeriaceae
Description: eukaryotic LSU rRNA
Rfam family: Eukaryotic large subunit ribosomal RNA
Source: RNAcentral